CCUACGGGAGGCAGCAGUGAGGAAUAUUGGUCAAUGGGCGCGAGCCUGAACCAGCCAAGUAGCGUGAAGGAUGACUGCCCUACGGGUUGUAAACUUCUUUUAUAAAGGAAUAAAGUGCGGCACGUGUGCCUUUUUGUAUGUACUUUAUGAAUAAGGAUCGGCUAACUCCGUGCCAGCAGCCGCGGUAAUACGGAGGCUCCGAGCGUUAUCCGGAUUUCUUGGGUUUAAAGGGAGCGUAGAUGGGUUGUUAAGUCAGUUGUGAAAGUUUGCGGCUCAACCGUAAAAUUGCAAUUGAUACUGGCAGUCUUGAGUACAGGAGAGGUAGGCGGAAUGCGUGGUGUAGCGGUGAAAUGCUUAGAUAUCACGAAGAACUCCGAUGGCGAAGGCAGCUUACUAGACUGCCACUGACAUUGAGGCUCGAAAGUGUGGGUAUCAAACAGGAUUAGAUACCCCGGUAGUC
This 460-nucleotide ribosomal RNA is filed under the name uncultured bacterium. RNAcentral's name for it is "partial 16S ribosomal RNA". It matches the Rfam family "Bacterial small subunit ribosomal RNA", at positions 338 to 795 of the family's 1533-position model. The record is from RNAcentral.